UGGAGAGUCAGAGCUACAGGAGGUUUUGCAGAGUCUUUCCUGACCAGGUUUCUGAAGCUGCCUGGAUGAUAUGAAGAAAAGAUAAACCCUCUGAAACAGCAGCCACCUUUUUUGAGUUGAGAUUGGAAUUUAAGGCAUUUUUUAGGGUACACAAAAGUGGGUUUCAGGCUGUCCUGGGGCCAUGCUCUGCCAGAGCUGUAGGUGUGCUUUUUCUUGCUCUGUGGCUGAAGCCCAUUGAUCAUGGCAGCUCCAGGCCCCCUUCCCUUCUGCCUUGUGCCCUGGGGAGCCUGUCCUGGCUGAGCAGGGCUUGCUGGCUGCUGGAGACUAUCCUGCCCAGCAGGUCAGGCUGGUGGCUGCAGCACUUUGGAGAUUUGUCCCUGUCCUCUGCCCACGGAGAGCCUGUUGUCAGGUUGUCCAACAAAACUGAGCACCAUUAAUUGUCAUUCUUGGAAUAAGCAACAACAUAAUUUAUCAAUGUGGCAAUAACAGUAAUGUUUGUAUUUCCCAGUCUUGAAACACUUGGAUUGGAGAUGACAGCAUUAUAAUUGAAAAUAAUGGUGAGACACUGGCCCCAGCUCCAGCUGGGCAGGGGAACCACGGGGCAGCAUCUCUGCAGAGCAUCCCCACUGCAGCCAAGAACCAAAUGAGAAUUUUGGACCCUUGCAGCCUGGAUUUGUGGCAGGAGCAGACAGGCAAGGGCUUUGAAGCCCAGAACAACCUUUCCAGAAGAGAC
Passer montanus (Eurasian tree sparrow) is the source of this 733-nucleotide long non-coding RNA. RefSeq lists it as uncharacterized. The record is from RefSeq and is a predicted model, not a curated record. NCBI's taxonomy places the organism in Eukaryota, Metazoa, Chordata, Aves, Passeriformes, Passeridae. The transcript has 4 exons.